CAAAAGACAGCUGAGGAGGGAGCCACAGGUGCCAGCUGCCCAUACCUUGUCAAACAGGCUUCCUCCAAUCACAAGCCUUAUUGUUACUGGUGUCAGUUGAUGCCAUAAUUGGAGGUGGAGGUGGAGAGUGUGCAGAUGAAACAGGGACUGGAGUGUUCAGAGCUCAUAAAGAUGUCAAAAAUUAAAAAGAUAAAUACUGGUAAGCUAUUGCUGGCAGAACCAGUCCCAAAUUCAAGCAG
Pipistrellus kuhlii (Kuhl's pipistrelle) is the source of this 239-nucleotide long non-coding RNA. RefSeq lists it as uncharacterized. NCBI's taxonomy places the organism in Eukaryota, Metazoa, Chordata, Mammalia, Chiroptera, Vespertilionidae. The transcript is spliced from 3 exons. The record is from RefSeq and is a predicted model, not a curated record.